GGGCCCGUAGUCUAGCAUGGAUUAGGACACUGGCCUGCGGAGCCGGAGAUCUUGGGUUCAAAUCCCAACGGGCCCG
Molecule: transfer RNA, 76 nt
Filed under: Candidatus Bathyarchaeota archaeon
Lineage: Archaea; Thermoproteati; Candidatus Bathyarchaeota
Also listed under: 2 other names
Description: tRNA-Arg
Rfam family: tRNA
About the family: Transfer RNA (tRNA) molecules are approximately 80 nucleotides in length. Their secondary structure includes four short double-helical elements and three loops (D, anti-codon, and T loops).
Source: RNAcentral